RNAcentral lists this long non-coding RNA (642 nucleotides) under Equus caballus (horse). RNAcentral describes it as "lncRNA (ENSECAG00000049539.1)". The record is from RNAcentral. Lineage: Eukaryota; Metazoa; Chordata; Mammalia; Perissodactyla; Equidae.
GGAGAGUUGAGACCUGGGAUAAAAGAGCGAGCUCUGGAUCCAGCAGAGGGGCAGCUGUGACUCAGCGAUUAUUGAGGCCCCAUGGAGCUGGGACCCAAACCUCCAAAAAUGGCAUGCGGGCCGGCUCGUGCUUGAAUCUCAGUGAGAGAUCCAACUGCGCUGGUUUGGAGGUGUGGAAAAACCACCUGCUCUGCCAGGAUAAAGAACUGUUGCUGGGGUGACAAGGACAGGAAGAGGAAGAACCCAGGAAGGGAGGAACUGUUGCAGACACACUCUCCAAGUGACUCACUCUGGACUUUGGCUUCCUGAGUCGCAGGAGCCCUACUCUCCUGAACGUUCACUCCAUCCAGCCAUCUCCAUGGGAGCCCACUGAAGGCUCCAACUCAAGGAAUCCCUGCAGCCCCUGAAGGCUUGGAGCUUGUUAAGCGUGUGUGUGUGUGUGUAUACAUGUGUGUGUGUGUGUUUCAGUUUACACCCUGUGUCUGUAUAGCUCGUUGGAGGAUACUUGUGAGCCCGGUUGGGAUAAGCUGAUGGUGGCCUCUGUAAAGACUCUACAUUCACUGGAGUGUGCUCAGGAAAGUGCCCCUAGAUACUUCUUUUCUGAAUAAGCUGCUGAGACUUGUGGUUUGGAGGUGAAAGCAG